AGCGAACGCUGGCGGCAGGCCUAACACAUGCAAGUCGAGCGCCCGUAGCAAUACGGGAGCGGCAGACGGGUGAGUAACACGUGGGAACGUACCCUUCGGUUCGGAAUAACCCAGGGAAACUUGGAUUAAUACCGAAUACGUCCGUAAGGAGAAAGAUUUAUCGCCGAAGGAUCGGCCCGCGUCCGAUUAGCUUGUUGGUGGGUAAUGGCCCACCAAGGCUACGAUCGGUAGCUGGUCUGAGAGGAUGAUCAGCCACACUGGGACUGAGACACGGCCCAGACUCCUACGGGAGGCAGCAGGUGGGGAAUAUUGGACAAUGGGCGCAAGCCUGAUCCAGCCAUGCCGCGUGGGUGAU
RNAcentral lists this ribosomal RNA (355 nucleotides) under uncultured bacterium. RNAcentral describes it as "bacterial SSU rRNA". It matches the Rfam family "Bacterial small subunit ribosomal RNA", at positions 29 to 409 of the family's 1533-position model. The record is from RNAcentral.